GUGGGGAAUAUUGGACAAUGGGCGAAAGCCUGAUCCAGCAAUGCCGCGUGAGUGAUGAAGGCCUUAGGGUUGUAAAGCUCUUUUACCAGGGAUGAUAAUGACAGUACCUGGAGAAUAAGCUCCGGCUAACUCCGUGCCAGCAGCCGCGGUAAUACGGAGGGAGCUAGCGUUGUUCGGAAUUACUGGGCGUAAAGCGCACGUAGGCGGUUACUCAAGUCAGAGGUGAAAGCCCGGGGCUCAACCCCGGAACUGCCUUUGAAACUAGGUAACUGGAAUCUUGGAGAGGUCAGUGGAAUUCCGAGUGUAGAGGUGAAAUUCGUAGAUAUUCGGAAGAACACCAGUGGCGAAGGCGACUGACUGGACAAGUAUUGACGCUGAGGUGCGAAAGCGUGGGGAGCAAACAGGAUUAGAAACCCCUGUAGUCC
RNAcentral lists this ribosomal RNA (425 nucleotides) under uncultured bacterium. RNAcentral's name for it is "partial 16S ribosomal RNA". It matches the Rfam family "Bacterial small subunit ribosomal RNA", at positions 354 to 796 of the family's 1533-position model. The record is from RNAcentral.